AGAGCGAACGCUGGCGGCAGGCUUAACACAUGCAAGUCGAACGGGCGUAGCAAUACGUCAGUGGCAGACGGGUGAGUAACGCGUGGGAACGUACCUUUUGGUUCGGAACAACACAGGGAAACUUGUGCUAAAUACCGGAUAAGCCCUUACGGGGAAAGAUUUAUCGCCGAAAGAUCGGCCCGCGUCUGAUUAGCUAGUUGGUAGGGUAACGGCCUACCAAGGCGACGAUCAGUAGCUGGUCUGAGAGGAUGAUCAGCCACAUUGGGACUGAGACACAGCCCAAACUCCUACGGGAGGCAGCAGUGGGGAAUAUUGGACAAUGGGCGAAAGCCUGAUCCAGCCAUGCCGCGUGAGUGAUGAAGGCCCUAGGGUUGUAAAGCUCUUUUGUGCGGGAAGAUAAUGACGGUACCGCAAGAAUAAGCCCGGCUAACUUCGUGCCAGCAGCCGC
This 448-nucleotide ribosomal RNA is filed under the name uncultured bacterium. RNAcentral describes it as "SSU rRNA". It matches the Rfam family "Bacterial small subunit ribosomal RNA", at positions 26 to 518 of the family's 1533-position model. The record is from RNAcentral.